Molecule: ribosomal RNA, 2117 nt
Filed under: Escherichia coli
Lineage: Bacteria; Pseudomonadati; Pseudomonadota; Gammaproteobacteria; Enterobacterales; Enterobacteriaceae
Description: bacterial LSU rRNA
Rfam family: Bacterial large subunit ribosomal RNA
Source: RNAcentral
UUAAGCGACUAAGCGUACACGGUGGAUGCCCUGGCAGUCAGAGGCGAUGAAGGACGUGCUAAUCUGCGAUAAGCGUCGGUAAGGUGAUAUGAACCGUUAUAACCGGCGAUUUCCGAAUGGGGAAACCCAGUGUGUUUCGACACACUAUCAUUAACUGAAUCCAUAGGUUAAUGAGGCGAACCGGGGGAACUGAAACAUCUAAGUACCCCGAGGAAAAGAAAUCAACCGAGAUUCCCCCAGUAGCGGCGAGCGAACGGGGAGCAGCCCAGAGCCUGAAUCAGUGUGUGUGUUAGUGGAAGCGUCUGGAAAGGCGCGCGAUACAGGGUGACAGCCCCGUACACAAAAAUGCACAUGCUGUGAGCUCGAUGAGUAGGGCGGGACACGUGGUAUCCUGUCUGAAUAUGGGGGGACCAUCCUCCAAGGCUAAAUACUCCUGACUGACCGAUAGUGAACCAGUACCGUGAGGGAAAGGCGAAAAGAACCCCGGCGAGGGGAGUGAAAAAGAACCUGAAACCGUGUACGUACAAGCAGUGGGAGCACAGAGCAAUCUGUGUGACUGCGUACCUUUUGUAUAAUGGGUCAGCGACUUAUAUUCUGUAGCAAGGUUAACCGAAUAGGGGAGCCGAAGGGAAACCGAGUCUUAACUGGGCGUUAAGUUGCAGGGUAUAGACCCGAAACCCGGUGAUCUAGCCAUGGGCAGGUUGAAGGUUGGGUAACACUAACUGGAGGACCGAACCGACUAAUGUUGAAAAAUUAGCGGAUGACUUGUGGCUGGGGGUGAAAGGCCAAUCAAACCGGGAGAUAGCUGGUUCUCCCCGAAAGCUAUUUAGGUAGCGCCUCGUGAAUUCAUCUCCGGGGGUAGAGCACUGUUUCGGCAAGGGGGUCAUCCCGACUUACCAACCCGAUGCAAACUGCGAAUACCGGAGAAUGUUAUCACGGGAGACACACGGCGGGUGCUAACGUCCGUCGUGAAGAGGGAAACAACCCAGACCGCCAGCUAAGGUCCCAAAGUCAUGGUUAAGUGGGAAACGAUGUGGGAAGGCCCAGACAGCCAGGAUGUUGGCUUAGAAGCAGCCAUCAUUUAAAGAAAGCGUAAUAGCUCACUGGUCGAGUCGGCCUGCGCGGAAGAUGUAACGGGGCUAAACCAUGCACCGAAGCUGCGGCAGCGACGCUUAUGCGUUGUUGGGUAGGGGAGCGUUCUGUAAGCCUGCGAAGGUGUGCUGUGAGGCAUGCUGGAGGUAUCAGAAGUGCGAAUGCUGACAUAAGUAACGAUAAAGCGGGUGAAAAGCCCGCUCGCCGGAAGACCAAGGGUUCCUGUCCAACGUUAAUCGGGGCAGGGUGAGUCGACCCCUAAGGCGAGGCCGAAAGGCGUAGUCGAUGGGAAACAGGUUAAUAUUCCUGUACUUGGUGUUACUGCGAAGGGGGGACGGAGAAGGCUAUGUUGGCCGGGCGACGGUUGUCCCGGUUUAAGCGUGUAGGCUGGUUUUCCAGGCAAAUCCGGAAAAUCAAGGCUGAGGCGUGAUGACGAGGCACUACGGUGCUGAAGCAACAAAUGCCCUGCUUCCAGGAAAAGCCUCUAAGCAUCAGGUAACAUCAAAUCGUACCCCAAACCGACACAGGUGGUCAGGUAGAGAAUACCAAGGCGCUUGAGAGAACUCGGGUGAAGGAACUAGGCAAAAUGGUGCCGUAACUUCGGGAGAAGGCACGCUGAUAUGUAGGUGAGGUCCCUCGCGGAUGGAGCUGAAAUCAGUCGAAGAUACCAGCUGGCUGCAACUGUUUAUUAAAAACACAGCACUGUGCAAACACGAAAGUGGACGUAUACGGUGUGACGCCUGCCCGGUGCCGGAAGGUUAAUUGAUGGGGUUAGCGGUAACGCGAAGCUCUUGAUCGAAGCCCCGGUAAACGGCGGCCGUAACUAUAACGGUCCUAAGGUAGCGAAAUUCCUUGUCGGGUAAGUUCCGACCUGCACGAAUGGCGUAAUGAUGGCCAGGCUGUCUCCACCCGAGACUCAGUGAAAUUGAACUCGCUGUGAAGAUGCAGUGUACCCGCGGCAAGACGGAAAGACCCCGUGAACCUUUACUAUAGCUUGACACUGAACAUUGAGCCUUGAUGUGUAG